UGCAAGUCGAGGGGCAGCGGGAUUGAAGCUUGCUUCAAUUGCCGGCGACCGGCGCACGGGUGAGUAACGCGUACCCAACCUUCCGUACACUCAGGGAUAGCCUUUCGAAAGAAAGAUUAAUACCUGAUGGUAUGAUGAGAUUGCAUGAUAGCAUCAUUAAAGAUUCAUCGGUGUACGAUGGGGAUGCGUUCCAUUAGGUAGUAGGCGGGGUAACGGCCCACCUAGCCUACGAUGGAUAGGGGUUCUGAGAGGAAGGUCCCCCACAUUGGAACUGAGACACGGUCCAAACUCCUACGGGAGGCAGCAGUGAGGAAUAUUGGUCAAUGGACGAGAGUCUGAACCAGCCAAGUAGCGUGAAGGAUGAAGGUCCUACGGAUUGUAAACUUCUUUUAUAAGGGAAUAAAACCUCCCACGUGUGGGAGCUUGUAUGUACCUUAUGAAUAAGCAUCGGCUAACUCCGUGCCAGCAGCCGCGGUAAUACGGAGGAUGCGAGCGUUAUCCGGAUUUAUUGGGUUUAAAGGGAGCGCAGACGGGUCGUUAAGUCAGCUGUGAAAGUUUGGGGCUCAACCUUAAAAUU
This 577-nucleotide ribosomal RNA is filed under the name uncultured bacterium. RNAcentral's name for it is "bacterial SSU rRNA". It matches the Rfam family "Bacterial small subunit ribosomal RNA", at positions 56 to 622 of the family's 1533-position model. The record is from RNAcentral.